This 25-nucleotide non-coding RNA is filed under the name Rattus norvegicus (Norway rat). The record is from RNAcentral. Lineage: Eukaryota; Metazoa; Chordata; Mammalia; Rodentia; Muridae.
CUGGAUGCCACACUGAGACCUCCCU